RNAcentral lists this ribosomal RNA (254 nucleotides) under uncultured bacterium. RNAcentral's name for it is "partial 16S ribosomal RNA". It matches the Rfam family "Bacterial small subunit ribosomal RNA", at positions 524 to 776 of the family's 1533-position model. The record is from RNAcentral.
CACGUAGGGUGCGAGCGUUGUCCGGAAUUAUUGGGCGUAAAGAGCUCGUAGGCGGUGUGUCGCGUCGGCCGUGAAAACCUGCAGCUUAACUGUGGGCGUGCGGUCGAUACGGGCAUCACUGGAGUUCGGCAGGGGAGACUGGAAUUCCUGGUGUAGCGGUGAAAUGCGCAGAUAUCAGGAGGAACACCGGUGGCGAAGGCGCCACUCUGGGCCGGUACUGACGCUGAGGAGCGAAAGCGUGGGUAGCAAACAGG